GGCACCGUAGCUUAGGGGGUAGUAUAGCAGCUUCCGAAGCUGGAGGCCGCGGGUUCGAAUCCCGCCCAGGGCAAACA
This 77-nucleotide transfer RNA is filed under the name Plutella xylostella (diamondback moth). RNAcentral describes it as "tRNA-Arg". The stretch from base 10 to 73 matches the Rfam family "tRNA". Rfam says of the family: Transfer RNA (tRNA) molecules are approximately 80 nucleotides in length. Their secondary structure includes four short double-helical elements and three loops (D, anti-codon, and T loops). Further hydrogen bonds mediate the characteristic L-shaped molecular structure. tRNAs have two regions of fundamental functional importance: the anti-codon, which is responsible for specific mRNA codon recognition, and the 3' end, to which the tRNAs corresponding amino acid is attached (by aminoacyl-tRNA synthetases). tRNAs cope with the degeneracy of the genetic code in two manners: having more than one tRNA (with a specific anti-codon) for a particular amino acid; and 'wobble' base-pairing, i.e. permitting non-standard base-pairing at the 3rd anti-codon position. The record is from RNAcentral. Lineage: Eukaryota; Metazoa; Arthropoda; Insecta; Lepidoptera; Plutellidae.